GUCUUCGUAGCUUAUUCCAUAAAGCACUGGUCUUGUAAACCAAAGACGGGCAUCAUCGCCCCUAAGACA
Anolis carolinensis (green anole) is the source of this 69-nucleotide non-coding RNA. The record is from Ensembl. Lineage: Eukaryota; Metazoa; Chordata; Lepidosauria; Squamata; Anolidae.